RNAcentral lists this microRNA precursor (91 nucleotides) under Canis lupus dingo (dingo). Its description in RNAcentral is "mir-8799 microRNA precursor family". It matches the Rfam family "mir-8799 microRNA precursor family". The record is from Rfam by way of RNAcentral. Lineage: Eukaryota; Metazoa; Chordata; Mammalia; Carnivora; Canidae.
AGGGGGAGGUCGGAUCCUGGGCUGUGUCCCUGGCGCCCUGUGCUCCCGGGCCUGGGCUAUUGGAUUCGCGCUCCCGGCCUGGCAGCCCCCU